ACAGCAGUCGCCGCGGGAAUACGAAGGGGGCUAGCGUUGCUCGGAAUCACUGGGCGUAAAGGGUGCGUAGGCGGGUCUUUAAGUCAGGGGUGAAAUCCUGGAGCUCAACUCCAGAACUGCCUUUGAUACUGAAGAUCUUGAGUUCGGGAGAGGUGAGUGGAACUGCGAGUGUAGAGGUGAAAUUCGUAGAUAUUCGCAAGAACACCAGUGGCGAAGGCGGCUCACUGGGCCGACACUGACACUGAGAGACGAAAGCUAGGGGAGCAAAUGGGAUUAGAUACCCCCGUAGUCCCUGUCUCUUAUAC
This 305-nucleotide ribosomal RNA is filed under the name uncultured bacterium. RNAcentral describes it as "partial 16S ribosomal RNA". It matches the Rfam family "Bacterial small subunit ribosomal RNA", at positions 508 to 807 of the family's 1533-position model. The record is from RNAcentral.